UUCUUUACAGUUGAGUUUUCAGUAUUGUGGACUGGAGUAUCUCCCUCUUUUCGCUUUGUUGAUUGCAUUUUGCCACAUCCACCAUUGACUUGAUUAGGGAUAUUGUUUGUUGUGGAGUUUGCGAUUUUAGUAAUUGGUUGGAAGAGGUUGGAGAUUCUAUGCAAAGGAGACUCUCAAUUGUUUUUCUGUCAUUGUUUUUCAAAUCAAGGUGAAUCCAAACUGUGAACUGAUUGUCAGCAACAUCUUUCCGGCUACACAACUUUCCCUGCCAUCAAUAGAAGAAGAACCAGGAACUGCAACACCAGAUUGUCCCCUUGCCCAAAAAAAAAUAUCAAUUGAAGCAAGCAAAAGGACACUGUUCAAUUCUAACCCAGAAAAGAAAAUCAGGAGGGAAGCAGAACAAGGAAGCACCACUUCAUCAUCACUGACAAAAGAAAAACAUGAGAAUGAAAACAAGGAAUAAACAUGCACCCCUCUUUUGUACAAAUGUAACUAACAAGUAGCAGCUGCAUUGCCUACAAUUUUUGGGUUAACUGUAGUCAACUAAUCAACUGAAACAUUUUGUACAGUGGAACAACCAUUUUUUGUAAACCAACUUAAGUUGAUUCAGCAGCUAUAACUGAAGCAAUGUUAUGUUUUGAAGAUACAAUGCAGCUGCUGUGCUUAACAGUAUUUAUCACUUACUGUUGCUAGGUUAAUCAAUGACAAAUUUGUUGAACUAGCAUUUUUGUAUUAGGUAUAAUUCAAUGUAAACAAUGUAAAAGUACUUAUA
Molecule: long non-coding RNA, 772 nt
Organism: Rosa chinensis
Lineage: Eukaryota; Viridiplantae; Streptophyta; Magnoliopsida; Rosales; Rosaceae
Exons: 5
Source: RefSeq, a predicted model, not a curated record